AUUGAACGCUGGCGGCAUGCCUUACACAUGCAAGUCGAACGGCAGCGGGGGAGAAGCUUGCUUUUCCUGCCGGCGAGUGGCGAACGGGUGAGUAAUACAUCGGAACGUGCCCUGUAGUGGGGGAUAACUAGUCGAAAGAUUAGCUAAUACCGCAUACGACCUGAGGGUGAAAGUGGGGGACCGCAAGGCCUCAUGCUAUAGGAGCGGCCGAUGUCUGAUUAGCUGGUUGGUGGGGGAAAGGCCUACCAAGGCGACGAUCAGUAGCUGGUCUGAGAGGACGAUCAGCCACACUGGGACUGAGACACGGCCCAGACUCCUACGGGAGGCAGCAGCGGGGAAUUUUGGACAAUGGGCGAAAGCCUGAUCCAGCAAUGCCGCGUGUGUGAAGAAGGCCUUCGGGUUGUAAAGCACUUUUGUCCGGAAAGAAAUGGCUCUGGUUAAUACCUGGGGUCGAUGACGGUACCGGAAGAAUAAGGACCGGCUAACUACGUGCCAGCCGCCGCCGUAA
RNAcentral lists this ribosomal RNA (508 nucleotides) under uncultured bacterium. RNAcentral's name for it is "partial 16S ribosomal RNA". It matches the Rfam family "Bacterial small subunit ribosomal RNA", at positions 30 to 523 of the family's 1533-position model. The record is from RNAcentral.